Molecule: ribosomal RNA, 496 nt
Filed under: uncultured bacterium
Lineage: Bacteria
Description: partial 16S ribosomal RNA
Rfam family: Bacterial small subunit ribosomal RNA
Source: RNAcentral
AUGCAUGCUGGCGGCGUGCCUAAUACAUGCAAGUCGAGCGAACGGACGAGAAGCUUGCUUCUCUGAUGUUAGCGGCGGACGGGUGAGUAACACGUGGAUAACCUACCUAUAAGACUGGGAUAACUUCGGGAAACCGGAGCUAAUACCGGAUAAUAUUUUGAACCGCAUGGUUCAAAAGUGAAAGACGGUCUUGCUGUCACUUAUAGAUGGAUCCGCGCUGCAUUAGCUAGUUGGUAAGGUAACGGCUUACCAAGGCAACGAUGCAUAGCCGACCUGAGAGGGUGAUCGGCCACACUGGAACUGAGACACGGUCCAGACUCCUACGGGAGGCAGCAGUAGGGAAUCUUCCGCAAUGGGCGAAAGCCUGACGGAGCAACGCCGCGUGAGUGAUGAAGGUCUUCGGAUCGUAAAACUCUGUUAUUAGGGAAGAACAUAUGUGUAAGUAACUGUGCACAUCUUGACGGUACCUAAUCAGAAAGCCACGGCUAACUACGUG